GUCAGGACAGUUCAUUGCUCUGGCAUCUGCAAUAACUUCAAAAUGGAUAUCGCUGUACACUUUACGGUUUCAUCCUUACCACAAAGCCUAAAGGAUUAAACUUUGGAACAAUUAUUUGCUUACUACAUAAGAAGCCUUGUGUGGCUGUAUUCAAAGCACCCUAUCAGUCAAUACAUUCGUUUUACAAGCAUGUCAACUUCUGCUACGCCUUCAUCAAGCUCAAUGGAGUGAUCUCCAGUUACAGAACAGCACUGUGCUCCUAGGGUGCAUUAAUGCUUUUCAUAAAACAAUUCAGCCUCACUUCAUUACAUGGUAAUGCUAUUUUUUUUGUUAGUAUCACGGUCAGUAGAGCAGGUACUCAACAAGAACGGGUCAGGAAAUGGUAUAGAGGCCGACUCAGGAACAAGGGCCCACACUGAGCAGCUAUGCACAUUCAUAGCCUUUAUAAGGAACCAUAACUAAUGUGAUAAUGAGAAGAACAGAGUUACAGUGCAUAG
Long non-coding RNA from Hyla sarda, 497 nucleotides. RefSeq lists it as uncharacterized. Lineage: Eukaryota; Metazoa; Chordata; Amphibia; Anura; Hylidae. The record is from RefSeq and is a predicted model, not a curated record. The transcript has 3 exons.